CCUACGGGAGGCAGCAGUGAGGAAUAUUGGUCAAUGGGCGCGAGCCUGAACCAGCCAAGUAGCGUGAGGGAUGAAGGCCCUAUGGGUUGUAAACUUCUUUUAUAAGGGAAUAAAGUGAGGCACGUGUGCCUUUUUGUAUGUACCUUAUGAAUAAGGAUCGGCUAACUCCGUGCCAGCAGCCGCGGUAAUACGGAGGAUCCGAGCGUUAUCCGGAUUUAUUGGGUUUAAAGGGAGCGUAGGCGGCCUUUUAAGUCAGCUGUGAAAGUCUGUGGCUCAACCGUAGAAUUGCAGUUGAAACUGGGGGGCUUGAGUAUGUGUGAGGUAGGCGGAAUGCGUGGUGUAGCGGUGAAAUGCUUAGAUAUCACGAAGAACCCCGAUUGCGAAGGCAGCCUACCAAACCGUCACUGACGCUGAUGCACGAAAGCGUGGGUAUCGAACAGGAUUAGAUACCCUUGUAGUC
RNAcentral lists this ribosomal RNA (460 nucleotides) under uncultured bacterium. RNAcentral's name for it is "partial 16S ribosomal RNA". It matches the Rfam family "Bacterial small subunit ribosomal RNA", at positions 338 to 795 of the family's 1533-position model. The record is from RNAcentral.